AGUGAACGCUGGCGGUAGGCCUAACACAUGCAAGUCGAACGGCAGCACAGUAAGAGCUUGCUCUUACGGGUGGCGAGUGGCGGACGGGUGAGGAAUACAUCGGAAUCUACUUUUUCGUGGGGGAUAACGUAGGGAAACUUACGCUAAUACCGCAUACGACCUACGGGUGAAAGCAGGGGAUCUUCGGACCUUGCGCGAUUGAAUGAGCCGGUGUCGGAUUAGCUAGUUGGCGGGGUAACGGCCCACCAAGGCGACGAUCCGUAGCUGGUCUGAGAGGAUGAUCAGCCACACUGGAACUGAGACACGGUCCAGACUCCUACGGGAGGCAGCAGUGGGGAAUAUUGGACAAUGGGCGCAAGCCUGAUCCAGCCAUACCGCGUGGGUGAAGAAGGCCUUCGGGUUGUAAAGCCCUUUUGUUGGGAAAGAAAAGCAGCAGGUUAAUACCCCGCUGUUCUGACGGUACCCAAAGAAUAAGCACCGGCUAACUUCGUG
Molecule: ribosomal RNA, 492 nt
Filed under: uncultured bacterium
Lineage: Bacteria
Description: partial 16S ribosomal RNA
Rfam family: Bacterial small subunit ribosomal RNA
Source: RNAcentral